GCUUGCACCGAGAUUCAACAUGGAACGAGUGGCGGACGGGUGAGUAACACGUGGGUAACCUGCCCUUAAGUGGGGGAUAACAUUUGGAAACAGAUGCUAAUACCGCAUAGAUCCAAGAACCGCAUGGUUCUUGGCUGAAAGAUGGCGUAAGCUAUCGCUUUUGGAUGGACCCGCGGCGUAUUAGCUAGUUGGUGAGGUAAUGGCUCACCAAGGCGAUGAUACGUAGCCGAACUGAGAGGUUGAUCGGCCACAUUGGGACUGAGACACGGCCCAAACUCCUACGGGAGGCAGCAGUAGGGAAUCUUCCACAAUGGACGCAAGUCUGAUGGAGCAACGCCGCGUGAGUGAAGAAGGCUUUCGGGUCGUAAAACUCUGUUGUUGGAGAAGAAUGGUCGGCAGAGUAACUGUUGUCGGCGUGACGGUAUCCAACCAGAAAGCCACGGCUAACUACGUGCCAGCAGCCGCGGUAAUACGUAGGUGGCAAGCGUUAUCCGGAUUUAUUGGGCGUAAAGCGAGCGCAGGCGGUUUUUUAAGUCUGAUGUGAAAGCCCUCGGCUUAACCGAGGAAGCGCAUCGGAAACUGGGAAACUUGAGUGCAGAAGAGGACAGUGGAACUCCAUGUGUAGCGGUGAAAUGCGUAGAUAUAUGGAAGAACACCAGUGGCGAAGGCGGCUGUCUGGUCUGUAACUGACGCUGAGGCUCGAAAGCAUGGGUAGCGAACAGGAUUAGAUACCCUGGUAGUCCAU
RNAcentral lists this ribosomal RNA (745 nucleotides) under Lacticaseibacillus paracasei. RNAcentral describes it as "bacterial SSU rRNA". It matches the Rfam family "Bacterial small subunit ribosomal RNA", at positions 66 to 798 of the family's 1533-position model. Lineage: Bacteria; Bacillati; Bacillota; Bacilli; Lactobacillales; Lactobacillaceae. The record is from RNAcentral.